RNAcentral lists this ribosomal RNA (208 nucleotides) under uncultured bacterium. RNAcentral's name for it is "partial 16S ribosomal RNA". It matches the Rfam family "Bacterial small subunit ribosomal RNA", at positions 568 to 774 of the family's 1533-position model. The record is from RNAcentral.
UGCGUAGGUGGUGAGGUAAGUCGGAUGUGAAAGCUCGGAGCUCAACUCCGAAAUGGCAUUGGAAACUACCUUGCUCGAGGGUUGGAGGGGGGACCGGGAAUACUUGGUGUAGCAGUGAAAUGCGUAGAUAUCAAGUGGAACACCAGUGGCGAAGGCGAGUCCCUGGACAACUCCUGACACUGAGGCACGAAAGCUAGGGGAGCAAACA